Nannospalax galili (Upper Galilee mountains blind mole rat) is the source of this 204-nucleotide small nucleolar RNA. Its record names the gene SNORA73. It matches the Rfam family "Small nucleolar RNA SNORA73 family". From Rfam's summary of the family: U17 (SNORA73A and SNORA73B) also known as E1 belongs to the H/ACA class of small nucleolar RNAs (snoRNAs). Vertebrate U17 is intron-encoded and ranges in length from 200-230 nucleotides, longer than most snoRNAs. The record is from Ensembl. Lineage: Eukaryota; Metazoa; Chordata; Mammalia; Rodentia; Spalacidae.
CCAACAUGGAUAUCCCAGGAGGUCACUUUCCCUGAGCUCUGUCCUAGUGGUAUAGGGGAGCAUAGGGCUCCACCCCAUGAUGUAUAGUCCUUUUCCACAAUGUUAGAGAUGAAGCUGGGCUUCGAGUCUUUGUCUACCUAUUCCUACGACUUCUCAGAGUCCUGUGGACAAUGACUGGGGAGACAAACCAUUCAGGAAACAGCC